RNAcentral lists this ribosomal RNA (135 nucleotides) under uncultured bacterium. RNAcentral describes it as "partial 16S ribosomal RNA". The record is from RNAcentral.
AGGUGUUCGCAUCGGGCGCAUGCCUCGACGCCGCAACGCCGCGUGGGUGAUGAAGGUCUUCGGGUGUAAACUCGUUUCGGCGGGACGAAAAGCCCGUGCUAAAAGUCGGGGGGGGCCGGUUCCCUUCGAAGGGGC